Long non-coding RNA from Tarenaya hassleriana, 407 nucleotides. RefSeq lists it as uncharacterized. Lineage: Eukaryota; Viridiplantae; Streptophyta; Magnoliopsida; Brassicales; Cleomaceae. The record is from RefSeq and is a predicted model, not a curated record. The transcript has 3 exons.
CAUGGCCGACCUUAGCUCGCCCAAAACCAGAUUUUUGCUCCGGUUUACCUCCUUACUCGUCGUCGACCAUCGACCACCGCCCCGUGGCCACCGCUUCAUCACCGUCGGUGAAGAAAAUCUCGAGGUUAUUGAACCCGGGAUCGAGGAUUAGAGCGAAUCUUUCGGAGUUCAUCGUUUAGACCAAGGUGAAAGCUGAAACAGAUUGUUUUGGUUGGACUCGAUAGUUGCUAGAAACACGAAGAAUUUGAUUUUCUAUUUUUACGAGUUUAGAAUUUUAGACUUAUGUUAUUUUAGACUUCCGCUGUAGACAUGUGAUUUUGAUGGUUGAUUUUAGAGUAAAUCGUAUUUUUUUUUAUAACCCAAGUGACGAUUCAUCAAUAUCCGAAAUACCAGAUUUUGGUUCGUUA